This 344-nucleotide unclassified non-coding RNA is filed under the name Hevea brasiliensis (rubber tree). The record is from RNAcentral. Lineage: Eukaryota; Viridiplantae; Streptophyta; Magnoliopsida; Malpighiales; Euphorbiaceae.
GUAAAUACUGAGCUCUCUCUCUCGAUCACUCACCUCCUGUUGCUGCAGCUGCAGCUGCUUCCUCCUUCGUUCACUAAGCAACAUCCCUAACUCUUCGCUAAAAUCAUUGCUUCCUCCUAGCAUUGAUCGCAUUCCAAUUUCCGACAUCAUCUUCGCAUAACCAUCAGUAAUCAUCGCAUAAACACAUAAAAUUAAGCUAAAUCUCAACAAAAACACCUCAAAAUUGUCCAAAAAACUCAAAAACUCAGCUCAAAUUAGCUCACAAACUCAUAAAUUUCCAUUAAUUUUAAGCUAAACAACCAUAACAUCAACCGAUUCAAUCCAGAUUUUCAUAGAAACGAGCG